RNAcentral lists this ribosomal RNA (441 nucleotides) under uncultured bacterium. RNAcentral describes it as "partial 16S ribosomal RNA". It matches the Rfam family "Bacterial small subunit ribosomal RNA", at positions 28 to 507 of the family's 1533-position model. The record is from RNAcentral.
GAUGAACGCUGGCGGCGUGCCUAAUACAUGCAAGUCGAACGGGGAGUCGCAAUACUCUUAGUGGCGAGCGGGUGAGUAACGCGUUGGUACCUGCCCCGAAGCGGGGGAUAACGGACCGAAAGGUCCGCUAAUACCCCAUGUGCUCGGUAACGAGUAAAGGUGAAAACCACUUUGGGAGGGGCAUGCGUCCCAUCAGCUAGUUGGUAAGGUAACGGCUUACCAAGGCGAUGACGGGUAGGGGACCUGAGAGGGUGGCCCCCCACAAUGGAACUGAAACACGGUCCAUACACCUACGGGUGGCAGCAGUAGGGAAUAUUGGUAAUGGGCGCAAGCCUGAACCAGCAACGCCGCGUGUGCGAUGACGGCCUUCGGGUUGUAAAGCACUUUUGACGGGGACGAGGAAGGACGGUACCGGUCGAAUCAGCCUCGGCUAACUACGUG